CGAGACCACAGAAUUCACUGUGUCCUUAAGGAAUUUAACUCCCUCACUGUACCCGAGGUUGUGGAUUAUUUCCUCCCAGGAUAUAACGGAUAUACCUAUCGUAGGAGUGGCGGUACCUCAAACGCCUACGACUUCGACGAACUCAAAUUCGGGAACGAAAUCACACUAUGACUCGAUAUGUUUCAGUUUGCAGAAAAGAAUGAAGAAUUUUUAAUGCACGAAUAUUUUCUUUUUCUUUUCAGUACUCGAAAAUGAGGCAUUGCCUCAGUUUAUAUAGCCUCGAAUUGUGACUGUUCGGAAAGGCUUGGUGCCUGUUCGGGAAAGGCCAUGCCUUUNNNN
This 339-nucleotide long non-coding RNA is filed under the name Nicotiana benthamiana. RNAcentral describes it as "long non-coding RNA (NBEN_LNC037472)". The record is from RNAcentral. Lineage: Eukaryota; Viridiplantae; Streptophyta; Magnoliopsida; Solanales; Solanaceae.